Long non-coding RNA from Lucilia cuprina (Australian sheep blowfly), 461 nucleotides. RefSeq lists it as uncharacterized. The record is from RefSeq and is a predicted model, not a curated record. The transcript is spliced from 2 exons. Lineage: Eukaryota; Metazoa; Arthropoda; Insecta; Diptera; Calliphoridae.
GAAUAAUAAUAAUAAUAAUAAUAAUGAAAAAGAAAGUAAGAAAGUUACAAACAACAUUUACUUUCCCGAUACGAUCAAUAUUGGUCCGCUGAUGGUCGGAGGUAAUAAUGGCCAAACCAACUGCUUUAAAUCUUGUCCUAUCGCAUUUGACCCAAUUUGUGCAACCCUAACAAGUUAUGCAGGCGAACGGGUAGAGUGUUCUUUUGUAAAUUUUUGUUUUUUGGAAGAAUUUAUGUGUGUAAAAAAAUUAAAUUAUUUGCCAAGAACCGCAGGUGCUUGUGAAGAAGAACUUCCGGAAUGUGUGGAUAUGAUCCAGAAUGGACUACCAGCUAGAGGAUAGAGUUUCAAUAAAAAACAAAAGGUCUAAUGAAAAAUUAUUCAUAAUAUCAAAGUACCAAAGAUGGAUAUCGUAGAGAAGGUUUAUUAUAUAUUUUGUGAAAGAAAAAAUAGAAUAUAAAAUU